RNAcentral lists this ribosomal RNA (497 nucleotides) under uncultured bacterium. RNAcentral describes it as "partial 16S ribosomal RNA". It matches the Rfam family "Bacterial small subunit ribosomal RNA", at positions 28 to 507 of the family's 1533-position model. The record is from RNAcentral.
GAUGAACGCUGGCGGCGUGCCUAAUACAUGCAAGUCGAGCGAACAGACGAGGAGCUUGCUCCUCUGACGUUAGCGGCGGACGGGUGAGUAACACGUGUAUAACCUACCUAUAAGACUGGGAUAACUUCGGGAAACCGGAGCUAAUACCGGAUAAUAUAUUGAACCGCAUGGUUCAAUAGUGAAAGACGGUUUUGCUGUCACUUAUAGAUGGAUCCGCGCCGCAUUAGCUAGUUGGUAAGGUAACGGCUUACCAAGGCAACGAUGCGUAGCCGACCUGAGAGGGUGAUCGGCCACACUGGAACUGAGACACGGUCCAGGCUCCUACGGGAGGCAGCAGUAGGGAAUCUUCCGCAAUGGGCGAAAGCCUGACGGAGCAACGCCGCGUGAGUGAUGAAGGUCUUCGGAUCGUAAAACUCUGUUAUUAGGGAAGAACAAAUGUGUAAGUAACUAUGCACGUCUUGACGGUACCUAAUCAGAAAGCCACGGCUAACUACGUG